RNAcentral lists this microRNA precursor (102 nucleotides) under Oikopleura dioica. Its description in RNAcentral is "microRNA odi-mir-1494 precursor". Lineage: Eukaryota; Metazoa; Chordata; Appendicularia; Copelata; Oikopleuridae. The record is from miRBase by way of RNAcentral.
GGUUAUUGAAUGAUAAAGCAGCAAGGACAGUGUUUGGUGAUUUUGACCAACUGAAGACUAUCUUUGCUCGCUCCAUCAAGCUAGCCACGAACUACGAGAGAU